ACAACUCUCAACAACGGAUAUCUUGGCUCCCGCAUCGAUGAAGAACGCAGCGAAAUGCGAUACGUAGUGUGAAUUGCAGAAUUCCGUGAAUCAUCGAAUCUUUGAACGCAUAUUGCGCUCGAGACUCCGGUCAAGAGCAUGUCUGGCUCA
This 150-nucleotide ribosomal RNA is filed under the name Pseudochlorella pringsheimii. Its description in RNAcentral is "5.8S ribosomal RNA". It matches the Rfam family "5.8S ribosomal RNA". From Rfam's summary of the family: 5.8S ribosomal RNA (5.8S rRNA) is a component of the large subunit of the eukaryotic ribosome. The record is from RNAcentral. Lineage: Eukaryota; Viridiplantae; Chlorophyta; Trebouxiophyceae; Chlorellales; Chlorellaceae.